RNAcentral lists this ribosomal RNA (403 nucleotides) under Verrucomicrobiota bacterium. RNAcentral describes it as "Verrucomicrobia bacterium partial 16S ribosomal RNA". It matches the Rfam family "Bacterial small subunit ribosomal RNA", at positions 355 to 776 of the family's 1533-position model. The record is from RNAcentral. Lineage: Bacteria; Pseudomonadati; Verrucomicrobiota.
UGGGGAAUAUUGCACAAUGGGGGAAACCCUGAUGCAGCGACGCCGCGUGAGCGAAGAAGGUUUUCGAAUCGUAAAGCUCUGUCCUAUGGGAAGAUAAUGACGGUACCAUAGGAGGAAGCCCCGGCUAACUACGUGCCAGCAGCCGCGGUAAUACGUAGGGGGCAAGCGUUGUACGGAAUCACUGGGCGUAAAGGGUUCGCAGGCGGAAAUGCAAGUCAGUUGUGAAAGGCAGAGGCUCAACCUCUGUAAGCAAUUGAAACUGUAUUUCUUGAGAUGUGGAGAGGCAAGUGGAAUUCCUAGUGUAGCGGUGAAAUGCGUAGAUAUUAGGAAGAAUACCGGUGGCGAAGGCGACUUGCUGGACACAAACUGACGCUGAGGAACGAAAGCGUGGGUAGCAAACAGG